Long non-coding RNA from Lathyrus oleraceus (garden pea), 615 nucleotides. RefSeq lists it as uncharacterized. NCBI's taxonomy places the organism in Eukaryota, Viridiplantae, Streptophyta, Magnoliopsida, Fabales, Fabaceae. The record is from RefSeq and is a predicted model, not a curated record. The transcript has 2 exons.
AUGACCCGAAUUCAACGCUGAAAUGAACUCAGCUUCAAUCUUCUCCAUCCACAUGAUAUUUUCCCGUUCUACUCUUCUCUCCCUCUCACAUUCUCAAUUCAAAAGCCUGUGAACAAAAAAAAAAAUCAUGAGCUAAAAUCCAAAUUCGAAGAUCCUUCCUCGUUCAUGAAAUCGACGAGUUUAUGCCGAAAUCAAGCUCUUCAAAUAGCUCACGUAAGUACGUAGAAUUGAGGAUAAACUGAAACGAAACUGCUUCGAGAUUAACUUGAGUUUUACGUGCUAGAUUAAGGAACGAAGUAAAAAUUGAAUCGAGAGAACUUACUGAAUUAGGAUGAAAACAGGUGGAGAUGGAAAGAGAUAUGGAAAGAUAAUGAGGAACCCAAAUUGGCAAUCAAACUUAAACAAAAGCAUAUGACAUAUAAGUCAUGUAGAUGUUGUAUGGACUUUGUAGAAUUUGUAUGGAUAUGUACUCUAUGUAAUGAACUAUAAUAUGUAGAAUUUCCAUAUGUAAUAAACUAUGAUCAUGUUGAAUGUAAAGUUGGUUCGUCAAUAUUAAUGUAAACUCAAGUAUGUGAAAAUGUUGAUGAAUGAAAUGCAUUGAAUUGUCUUUGUUAA